CACGUAGGGGGCAAGCGUUUGUCCGGAUUUAUUGGGCGUAAAGAGCUCGUAGGCGGCUUAGUAAGUCGGGUGUGAAACCUCCAGGCUCAACCUGGAGACGCCACCCGAUACUGCUGUGGCUAGAGUCCGGUAGGGGAGCGUGGAAUUCCUGGUGUAGCGGUGAAAUGCGCAGAUAUCAGGAGGAACACCAGCGGCGAAGGCGGCGCUCUGGGCCGGUACUGACGCUGAGGAGCGAAAGCGUGGGGAGCGAACAGG
RNAcentral lists this ribosomal RNA (255 nucleotides) under uncultured bacterium. RNAcentral's name for it is "partial 16S ribosomal RNA". It matches the Rfam family "Bacterial small subunit ribosomal RNA", at positions 524 to 776 of the family's 1533-position model. The record is from RNAcentral.